CACUAUGAAGCUAAUUACAGCGUUAACCUUUUAAGUUAAAGACUAGGAACUUAAUCUCCUCAUAGUGA
RNAcentral lists this transfer RNA (68 nucleotides) under Pteromys volans (Siberian flying squirrel). Its description in RNAcentral is "tRNA-Lys". The record is from RNAcentral. Lineage: Eukaryota; Metazoa; Chordata; Mammalia; Rodentia; Sciuridae.